Molecule: ribosomal RNA, 253 nt
Filed under: uncultured bacterium
Lineage: Bacteria
Description: partial 16S ribosomal RNA
Rfam family: Bacterial small subunit ribosomal RNA
Source: RNAcentral
UACGGAGGGUGCAAGCGUUGCUCGGAAUUAUUGGGCGUAAAGGGUAGGUAGGUGGUCUCAUUUGUCUAGGGUGAAAGCCUUGAGCUUAACUCAAGAAGUGCCCUAGAAACGGUGAGACUAGAGUCCUGGAGAGGGUCGUGGAAUUCCCGGUGUAGCGGUGAAAUGCGUAGAGAUCGGGAGGAACACCAGAGGCGAAGGCGGCGACCUGGACAGGUACUGACACUCAACUACGAAAGCGUGGGGAGCAAACAGG